UACAGAGGGUGCAAACGUUGUUCGGAAUUACUGGGCGUAAAGCGCGUGCAGGCGGCCUUGCAAGUCGGACGUGAAAUCCCACGGCUCAACCGUGGAAGUGCAUUCGAAACUGCGAGGCUGGAGUCCUGGAGAGGAAAGUGGAAUACUCGGUGUAGAGGUGAAAUUCGUAGAUAUUGGGAGGAACACCAGUGGCGAAGGCGGCUCACUGGACCGGUGCUGACGCUGAUGCGCGAAAGCGUGGGGAGCAAACAGG
RNAcentral lists this ribosomal RNA (253 nucleotides) under uncultured bacterium. Its description in RNAcentral is "partial 16S ribosomal RNA". It matches the Rfam family "Bacterial small subunit ribosomal RNA", at positions 524 to 776 of the family's 1533-position model. The record is from RNAcentral.